Molecule: ribosomal RNA, 484 nt
Filed under: uncultured bacterium
Lineage: Bacteria
Description: partial 16S ribosomal RNA
Rfam family: Bacterial small subunit ribosomal RNA
Source: RNAcentral
GAUGAACGCUGGCGGCGUGCUUAACACAUGCAAGUCGAACGGUGAAGCAGGAGCUUGCUCUUGUGGAUCAGUGGCGAACGGGUGAGUAACACGUGAGCAACCUGCCCCUGACUCUGGGAUAAGCGCUGGAAACGGCGUCUAAUACUGGAUAUGUGAUGUGACCGCAUGGUCUGCAUCUGGAAAGAAUUUCGGUUGGGGAUGGGCUCGCGGCCUAUCAGCUUGUUGAUGAGGUAAUGGCUCACUAAGGCGUCGACGGGUAGCCGGCCUGAGAGGGUGACCGGCCACACUGGGACUGAGACACGGCCCAGACUCCUACGGGGGGCAGCAGUGGGGAAUAUUGCACAAUGGGCGGAAGCCUGAUGCAGCAACGCCGCGUGGGGGAUGACGGCCUUCGUGUUGUAAACCUCUUUUAGCAGGGAAGAGGCGAAAGUGACGGUACCUGCAGAAAAAGCACCGGCUAACUACGUGCCAGCCGCCGCAGUAA